Molecule: ribosomal RNA, 1081 nt
Filed under: Paranucleospora theridion
Lineage: Eukaryota; Fungi; Microsporidia; Enterocytozoonidae
Description: SSU rRNA
Rfam family: Microsporidia small subunit ribosomal RNA
Source: RNAcentral
CUCAGUAAUGUUGCGAUGAUCUGCUCUAGUUGUGUAAGAUAACCGCGGAAACCUGUGGCUAAGAGACUAGAAUGAGACGCAACCCUAUCAGUUUGUUGGUAGUGUAACGGACUACCAAGACUAUGACGGGUGACGGGAAAUCAGUGUUUGAUUCCGGAGAGGGAGCCUGAGAGAUGGCUCCCACGUCCAAGGAUGGCAGCAGGCGCGAAAAUUGUCCACUCUUUGUUGAGGAGACAGUUAUGAGGCGUGAUUGUAAGAGCGAAGAGUAAACAUCUUUGUGUAAUGCAACUAGAGGGCAAGUUUUGGUGCCAGCAGCCGCGGUAACUCCAACUCUAGAAGUGCCUAUUGUGGAUGCUGCAGUUAAAAAGUCCGUAGUCGUUGAUGCAAUUAAAAGGUGUAGAUCAAGUGCACCAAGUUUGUUAGUUGUGGCGGAGCGGACAGGGAGCAUGGUAUAGGUUGGCGAAGAAUGAAAUCUCAAGACCCAACCUGGACCAACUGAGGCGAAAGCGGUGCUCUUGUACGCGUCUGUGGAUCAAGGACGAAGGCUAGAGGAUCGAAAGUGAUUAGACACCGCUGUAGUUCUAGCAGUAAACUAUGCCGACAUUCUCUGUUGUUGAGACGGGGAGGGGAGAAAUCUUAGUUUUCGGGCUCUGGGGAUAGUACGCUUGCAAGAGUGAAACUUAAAGCGAAAUUGACGGAAGAUCACCACAAGGAGUGGAUUGUACUGCUUAAUUUGACUCAACACGGGAAAACUUACCAGGGCCAAGUCUCUCGUAGAUUGGCGACAUGAGAGGGGCAAGAGUGGUGCAUGGCCGUUGGAAAUUGAUGGGAUGACCUUUAGCUUAAGUGCUGUAACCAGUGAGAUCUUCUAGACAGGUGUCUUACUGACACAGGAAGGAGAAGGCUAUAACAGGUCCGUGAUGCCCUCAGAUGCCCUGGGCCGCAAGUGCAAUACAAUAUCCGUUUGAGCGACAUAAAUAUGCUUACGGAUGAGUAGGAUUAGCUCUUGUAAAUGAGCUAUGAAUGAGGAAUUCCUAGUAACUGUGUCUCAUCAAGGCACAGUGAAUGCGUCCCUGUUCUU